CUGGCGGCAGGCCUAAUACAUGCAAGUCGAGCGCGCCCUUCGGGGUGAGCGGCGGACGGGUGAGUAACGCGUGGGAAUAUGCCCUUCUCUAAGGAAUAGCCUCUGGAAACGGAGAGUAAAACCUUAUACGCCCUUUGGGGGAAAGAUUUAUCGGAGAAGGAUUAGCCCGCGUCGGAUUAGCUUGUUGGUAGGGUAAAGGCCUACCAAGGCUACGAUCCGUAGCUGGUCUGAGAGGAUGAUCAGCAAGAUUGGGACCGAGACACGGCCCAGACUCCUACGGGAGGCAGCAGUGGGGAAUCUUGGACAAUGGGGGCAACCCUGAUCCAGCCAUGCCGCGUGAGUGAAGAAGGCCCUAGGGUCGUAAAACUCUUUCGCCUGUGAUGAUAAUGACAGUAGCAGGUAAAGAAACCCCGGCUAACUCCGUGCCAGCAGCCGCGGUAAUACGGAGGGGGUUAGCGUUGUUCGGAAUUACUGGGCGUAAAGCGCACGUAGGCGGAUUAGUAAGUUAGAGGUGAAAUCCCAGGGCUCAACCCUGGAACUGCCUUUAAUACUGCUAGUCUUGAGUUCGAGAGAGGUAAGUGGAAUUCCGAGUGUAGAGGUGAAAUUCGUAGAUAUUCGGAGGAACACCAGUGGCGAAGGCGGCUUACUGG
RNAcentral lists this ribosomal RNA (650 nucleotides) under uncultured marine bacterium. RNAcentral describes it as "bacterial SSU rRNA". It matches the Rfam family "Bacterial small subunit ribosomal RNA", at positions 36 to 732 of the family's 1533-position model. The record is from RNAcentral.